CUAAUGCUAAAGCUAAGUGUGCUAAAGAUGUUCAAAGUUAGCUGUGCUAUUAGCGCAUUAGCAGAAGUGUGCCCAUCACUGGACUUGACUAAAGUAUUUACUGCGUUAUGAUUGAAUCCUUGGUUGGCAUUUAUUAUUGGAAUCUCCAGAAUCCUAGAUUUCUAAAUAAGAUUGCUGCAACAAAAAGAACACAGGAUGUUGCUACGUCCCGCCUGCGGGACACAGCAGCGCUAAUGAGUUAAUCACUAACUGAACAGGUACAGAUGUGGGACAUAAACCAGGGAACAGCAGCUUCUGUCCAAACAAAGUUUGACCAACCUUUGAAAAGCCAACUGCUCUGUUGAUGUUUGGCCCUGAUGUAACAUCGUCUGCUGCUCAGCGUCGUCAGAGGGAAGCUGUAUCUGUUCGGAGGAUCCUCCAGUCCUGAAGCCUCUGAAUGCCUCCCAGGCGUCUUCAGCUUCGACGUCGUGUCUUUGGCCUGGGAAUGCCUGUCAGCCGGCGGCGUGGCUCCCAGGGUUCUCCAUUACGGCUCUGCUGCUGCUGGAGACAACAUCUACGUGUACGGAGGGCAGCUGGAGGGCGAGCCAACCGACGACCUCCUGGUCUUCAACACAGUGUCCGUCACCUGGACUCCGGUUAAAACCAGCGGAUCGCUUCCUCCUGCCCUAUGGGGGCAGCGUUUCGCUCAGGCUGGAGAUCAGCUCUUCAUGUUUGGAGGUCACGGAGCAGGAGGAACGUUUUGUCAGGACCUUUACGCUCUGAACACAGAGAAGCUGCAGUGGCAGAAAUGGGAGGUGAAGGGAGAAUCUCCU
Molecule: long non-coding RNA, 812 nt
Organism: Poecilia latipinna (sailfin molly)
Lineage: Eukaryota; Metazoa; Chordata; Actinopteri; Cyprinodontiformes; Poeciliidae
Exons: 5
Source: RefSeq, a predicted model, not a curated record